Molecule: ribosomal RNA, 325 nt
Filed under: uncultured eukaryote
Lineage: Eukaryota
Description: partial 18S ribosomal RNA
Rfam family: Eukaryotic small subunit ribosomal RNA
Source: RNAcentral
CCCUUAGAUGUUCUGGGCUGCACGCGCGCUACACUGAAGCGUUCAACGAGUAUUCACCUUGCCCGGGAGGGUUGGGUAAUCUUUUGAAAACGCUUCGUGAUGGGGAUAGAUUAUUGCAAUUAUUAAUCUUCAACGAGGAAUUCCUAGUAAGCGCGAGUCAUCAGCUCGUGCUGAUUACGUCCCUGCCCUUUGUACACACCGCCCGUCGCCCCUACCGAUUGAGUGAUCCGGUGAAUAAUUCGGACUGCAGCACUGCUUGGUCUCCAGGCUUUGCAGCGGAAAGUUUAGUGAACCUUAUCACUUAGAGGAAGGAGAAGUCGUAACA